RNAcentral lists this long non-coding RNA (275 nucleotides) under Lathyrus oleraceus (garden pea). Its description in RNAcentral is "Pisum sativum (pea) long non-coding RNA (PSAT_LNC017840)". The record is from RNAcentral. Lineage: Eukaryota; Viridiplantae; Streptophyta; Magnoliopsida; Fabales; Fabaceae.
AAAGCUACUUCUAAGUUUUUUUUUUCUGGCUUUGUGUUCAUCCCCUCUAUUUAUAUCUAGUUUCUGAUUUUUGAAUUCAGAUUUUAUGGUGAUGUAAUAUGAUUUUUCAAAAAUGGUUCAUUCUUUGAGGUUCAAAUUACUUAUGAUAAUCUGAUGAAAAAUUCUGCCAUCCUUCUCAAAUUGUGAUAGUCAAUUUUUAACUUUCCUCUGUUUAAUUUAUUGAUUUGUAUUUUGAUUGUAUUAACAUGAUAAAACUAUGCUUGGAUUGAUGGAAC